GACGAACGCUGGCGGCGUGCCUAAUACAUGCAAGUCGAGCGAAGUUUUUCUGGUGCUUGCUCCGGAAAAACUUAGCGGCGAACGGGUGAGUAACACGUAAAGAACCUGCCUCAUAGACUGGGACAACUAUUGGAAACGAUAGCUAAUACCGGAUAAUAGCAUUAACUGCAUGGUUGAUGUUUAAAAGUUGGUUUUGCUAACACUAUGAGAUGGCUUUGCGGUGCAUUAGCUAGUUGGUGGGGUAAAGGCCUACCAAGGCGACGAUGCAUAGCCGACCUGAGAGGGUGAUCGGGCACACUGGGACUGAGACACGGCCCAGACUCCUACGGGAGGCAGCAGUAGGGAAUCUUCCGCAAUGGGCGAAAGCCUGACGGAGCAACGCCGCGUGAGUGAAGAAGGAUUUCGGUUCGUAAAGCUCUGUUGUUAGGGAAGAAUGAUUGUGUAGUAACUAUACACAGUAGAGACGGUACCUAACCAGAAAGCCACGGCUAACUACGUG
This 499-nucleotide ribosomal RNA is filed under the name uncultured bacterium. RNAcentral's name for it is "partial 16S ribosomal RNA". It matches the Rfam family "Bacterial small subunit ribosomal RNA", at positions 28 to 507 of the family's 1533-position model. The record is from RNAcentral.